AUUGAGUUUGAUCCUGGCUCAGGACGAACGCUGGCGGCAUGCCUCACACAUGCAAGUCGAACGGAGUUUAGCUUUAAGCUUGCUUUUAGCUAAACUUAGUGGCGGACGGGUGAGUAACACGUGGGCAACCUGCCCUAUAGCCUGGGAUACCAUCGGGAAACUGAUGUUAAUACCGGAUAAGCUUUGAGAAUCGCAUGGUACUUAAAGGAAAGAUUUAUCGCUAUAGGAUGGGCCCGCGUUCCAUUAGCUAGUUGGUAAGGUAACGGCUUACCAAGGCGACGAUGGAUAGCUGGUCUGAGAGGACGAUCAGCCACACUGGGACUGAGACACGGCCCAGACUCCUACGGGAGGCAGCAGUGGGGGAUAUUGCGCAAUGGGGGGAACCCUGACGCAGCAAUGCCGCGUGAAGGAUGAAGGCCUUCGGGUCGUAAACUUCUGUCUAGAGGGAUGAAAUUUUGACAGUACCUCUGGAGGAAGCCCCGGCUAACUACGUGCCAGCAGCCGCGGUAAAAU
RNAcentral lists this ribosomal RNA (513 nucleotides) under uncultured bacterium. RNAcentral's name for it is "bacterial SSU rRNA". It matches the Rfam family "Bacterial small subunit ribosomal RNA", at positions 1 to 526 of the family's 1533-position model. The record is from RNAcentral.